This 492-nucleotide ribosomal RNA is filed under the name uncultured bacterium. RNAcentral's name for it is "partial 16S ribosomal RNA". It matches the Rfam family "Bacterial small subunit ribosomal RNA", at positions 29 to 507 of the family's 1533-position model. The record is from RNAcentral.
AGUGAACGCUGGCGGUAGGCCUAACACAUGCCAGUCGAACGGCAGCACAGUAAGAGCUUGCUCUUACGGGUGGCGAGUGGCGGACGGGUGAGGAAUACAUCGGAAUCUACUUUUUCGUGGGGGAUAACGUAGGGAAACUUACGCUAAUACCGCAUACGACCUACGGGUGAAAGCAGGGGAUCUUCGGACCUUGCGCGAUUGAAUGAGCCGAUGUCGGAUUAGCUAGUUGGCGGGGUAAAGGCCCACCAAGGCGACGAUCCGUAGCUGGUCUGAGAGGAUGAUCAGACACACUGGAACUGAGACACGGUCCAGACUCCUACGGGAGGCAGCAGUGGGGAAUAUUGGACAAUGGGCGCAAGCCUGAUCCAGCCAUACCGCGUGGGUGAAGAAGGCCUUCGGGUUGCAAAGCCCUUUUGUUGGGAAAGAAAAGCAGCAGGUUAAUACCCCGCUGUUCUGACGGUACCCAAAGAAUAAGCACCGGCUAACUUCGUG